GACGAACGCUGGCGGCGUGCUUAACACAUGCAAGUCGAACGGAAAGGCCCUGCUUUUGUGGGGUGCUCGAGUGGCGAACGGGUGAGUAACACGUGAGUAACCUGCCCUUGACUUUGGGAUAACUUCAGGAAACUGGGGCUAAUACCGGAUAGGAGCUCCUGCUGCAUGGUGGGGGUUGGAAAGUUUCGGCGGUUGGGGAUGGACUCGCGGCUUAUCAGCUUGUUGGUGGGGUAGUGGCUUACCAAGGCUUUGACGGGUAGCCGGCCUGAGAGGGUGACCGGCAAAGUGGGGCCUGAGAUCGGCCCAAGCCUCUGCGGGGGGCCAGCAGGGGGAAUUAUGCACCAAGGGGCGGAGGCCGGAGGCAGCACCCCCGGGGGGGGGAGGCCGGCCUCGGGUUUGAAACCCGUUUUCGCCUGUAACGAGGCGGGGGUGACGGAAAGGGGUAAAAAAGCCCCGGCUAACUCCGUG
RNAcentral lists this ribosomal RNA (468 nucleotides) under uncultured bacterium. RNAcentral describes it as "partial 16S ribosomal RNA". It matches the Rfam family "Bacterial small subunit ribosomal RNA", at positions 28 to 507 of the family's 1533-position model. The record is from RNAcentral.